CCCUUAGAUGUUCUGGGCCGCACGCGCGCUGCACUGACGAAUGCAACGAGCUUAUAACCUUGGCCGAAAGGUCUGGGUAAUCUCCAAAUUUCGUCGUGAUGGGGAUAGAUUAUUGCAAUUAUUAAUCUUCAACGAGGAAUGCCUAGUAAGCGCAAGUCAUCAGCUUGCGUUGAUUACGUCCCUGCCCUUUGUACACACCGCCCGUCGCUCCUACCGAUUGAAUGGUCCGGUGAAGCGCUCGGACCGCGGCCUCUUGACGGUUUUCCGUCGAUUGGCUGUGGGAAGUUCGUUAAACCUUAUCAUUUAGAGGAAGGAGAAGUCGUAACA
RNAcentral lists this ribosomal RNA (327 nucleotides) under uncultured eukaryote. Its description in RNAcentral is "partial 18S ribosomal RNA". It matches the Rfam family "Eukaryotic small subunit ribosomal RNA", at positions 1470 to 1796 of the family's 1831-position model. The record is from RNAcentral.